This is a long non-coding RNA of Ornithodoros turicata, 2886 nucleotides long. RefSeq lists it as uncharacterized. The record is from RefSeq and is a predicted model, not a curated record. The transcript is spliced from 7 exons. Lineage: Eukaryota; Metazoa; Arthropoda; Arachnida; Ixodida; Argasidae.
GUGCUGGUCCUAGAUUUCUUCAACAUUGAGUUGGAUCAUCGAACGUUUCUCUUGAAAUAUAACUUGAACUGUGUUAUCAGAUGACAGCCAUGUCCGGUUCUACCGCGGCACUGCAAAGUCCAAGUGCUCAGAUAUCGUCAGCUUCCGACUUGGACUCGUCAAGUGCUCAGACGUCGCAGGCAGCUAUCGGCUCGGCAACGGCAGAUGUUCAGGCGUCAGCUACCGACAUAGAAGUUGCUGCCGCUCGUGCUGAACGUCCUGAGGAAGUAAAUCUCGUCGACGAAUCGACUUCAUCAGAGUAAGUAUUAACUUCCGCAUUCAAGAUCGAGCAGCGCGACACUACUGUUUCCUACACUUUUGUGGCGUCACACUCGCAACAUUAAACAAGGUACUUCACCUAACGUGUCACAAAAAUGUGUUAAAAUCUACUUGCAUGAGAAGUCUCGGCUCAACGGGACACUUCCGCAAUCUUUUACGAAGACGCAGGAUCGCUUGGGAUCAAUACUUUAGGUGUCAACGUUGCUAUCCAUUUUAUGAUGUUCCUGCAACGUGGCAGUGCAAUGUUCCUCCAAUGUUGCUAUGGAACAGUGCCUGAACGUUCCUUAGUCACAUUCGAGCAACAUUACUCAUCCAAGCACCUAUUCCGUAACAUAUAGUCGCGCAAUAUUUUGCAAGACAGUUGUGAACCGUGGUUAAUGUCCCCUUCAUAUACACUCUAAGAAAAAAAGGUUGAAAACGGGUAGAAUCGCAACAGUUCUCCCCGACCUAUUUUCCCUCUACCGACUUCAGGUUGAAGUUGUGCUGUUUCUGCCCUUUUGCUCAACUCUCUCCCCCUAACGGUAGAACCACUGUGGCAAUCUUGGCACUAUUAGGGUUCAAGUGACCCUUUUUUUCUUUUUGUGUGUUUCGUAGCAGGGUUACUAAUGGAAGUGUAAAUGGGGUGACUCAAGCGACGAGAAUAGUUGAGGUUUACUAAUCCUGCGCACAAAGGCGUUUGGUCAAGCUUCGAGGUCACUGUUCAAGAGAUUAGCCAGAGCGACCAAACACAGAGUGCAGAGUGUCUGCGCUUGCGCGGAAUCGAUGAUUGUGUAAAAGGGGUCAGUAUAGAGACGAAUGCUGAAAGUGACAGACUGUCGGUUUGCACGUGGACAUUGCUGCACCGAAGGCCAUGCCUGCGGCCUAAUGGCUAUCCUGAGUCGGGUAUUCGCAUCUGCGUGGUGGAAGGUGUUAUCGGUUCAGCUGCAAUGGUAUGAACAUAAGCAAGGUGGAGUUAGGACAGAAUCAGGUGAGUACUUUUGAUAUUCAAGAUUUUUCUUCCUGAGCGUCUUAUAUGCAGUGAUCAGAUGCGUUUUGCGUGUUCGGGUUGAUCGGCAUGUCGUCUGACACUUUUUCAGCAUCCUAUGAAACUGCAAUAUGAGCAAAUGCGUUUGUGUAAUACACGCAGGUCACCAUGACAACUUUAGCACCGUAUCUUAUCAGCGCCCGCCGGAUGUGAUUACAGGAUCCACUUCGAAAAUGAAGAAAUGGAGCCAUAACAUACGGUGAGCCACUGUUUGAUGGGAGAAGGCACUCAUCGCUCGAGUCAUGGUUUUUUAGAUGUGCGCUGUGUUAUUUAUUUAUUUAUUUAUGCUUGGCUUUUGUCCACUGCCGGGUUAGCCUUCUUUUUGCAUGCUUAUUUCUGAGGGAAUCACACAUGUAAACAUAUUUCUGAGGAGUGAAACAUGUACCGUCGUUAUUAUUUAUCGCUUAUCUUAAAUGCUCUAUUAAUGCCAUUUACGUUUCAGUUGAAAUCAUCCGUCCUGCCACGUGUUGUGCCGGGCAGAUAUUACACACCGAGCGAAGAUUCGUGUGUAUUUAGAGCGACUCAGGAGUGUGAAACGUCAAGCCCUCAGAAGUUAUCCCGAUGCCCUUGUUAUGGUUCAUGCAUGUGGAAUUUAUGUGCAAGACAGUCCAUGCAAGUGCUGUGCAGUCUGAUGGAUGCAACAAUGGAGUCGUUUGUGUUGUGUUGUGUUUUCUUUCGUGUCUCCGUGCCCAGGCUUCUUCAAAAUGGAUGUACCUUUCGCAUUGGUAAGCGCAAGUGUACGAUUCCAAUUGUGACGUGCUAAUAAAAUGCUGUGACCAGUAACAGUUGUCUACGUAUAUAUUCUAUCUCAUCCACACAAAUAGUAUACGUCAAGUUCUUCUCAAAAGCGGAGUCAAUAUUUCCCUACAAGAUCUAAAUGCCCCGUCAUUACGGGUAGAGAUAUGCCACCGGUAGGCACAGCACGAAUAAUAGCAGAGAUUCUUACCAUUUCGGGUAAAAAAUUAUCUUCCAAUAAAGGAGAACAGUUCUACUCACGGUAGAACUAUCUUCCGGGAAUGGUUGAAUAUUUAGCGUCAAGAUGGGCAGAAAUUUCUCAUCCUUGGGGUAGAGGUGUCUUCCAUAUGGAGAGAAAAGAUAGACCCCUCCGAGGAAUAACAGUUAACCAUGUAGGGGCAGAAUUUUGCCACUAACAGGGUAGAAUUCUCUUCUCACUCAGGGGUAGAACUGUUCCACCUGUGGGGUAGAAAUGAAGGGGUAGAAGUGUUUCUACCCCUCACUUUCUACCCCAAAAGGGUUGAGAAUCUGUGACAACACACUUCUACCCCAAAAGGUAGAAAAUUACACCUUUUUUUCUUAGAGUGUAGUUUGUUGCCAGCAACGAUGCUGGAGAACAUUUCCGCAACAUUGCGACAGCGUCCCAGCCACAUUCCUCCAACACAAAUAAAACAUAGAGGGAACGUUUGUGUUAUGUUGCUGCAACAUUGAGACAGCGUCACAAUCAUAUUCCGUCAACGCAAAUAAAUAUGGAGGAACAUUUGUGUUAUGCUGCUGCAACAUUGAGACAGAGUAACAGUAACAUUUUC